UACGUAGGGUGCAAGCGUUGUCCGGAAUCAUUGGGCGUAAAGCGCGUGUAGGCGGCCCGGUAAGUCCGCUGUGAAAGUCCAGGGCUCAACCCUGGGAUGCCGGUGGAUACUGUCGGGCUCGAGUCCGGAAGAGGAGUGUGGAAUUCCUGGUGUAGCGGUGAAAUGCGCAGAUAUCAGGAGGAACACCCGUGGCGAAAGCGGCUCUCUGGGACGGUACUGACGCUGAGACGCGAAAGCGUGGGGAGCAAACAGG
RNAcentral lists this ribosomal RNA (253 nucleotides) under uncultured bacterium. RNAcentral's name for it is "partial 16S ribosomal RNA". It matches the Rfam family "Bacterial small subunit ribosomal RNA", at positions 524 to 776 of the family's 1533-position model. The record is from RNAcentral.